UUUGGAGGGCAAGUCUGGUGCCAGCAGCCGCGGUAAUUCCAGCUCCAAUAGCGUAUAUUAAAGUUGUUGCAGUUAAAAAGCUCGUAGUUGAAUUUCGGGAUCAAUUUAUUGGUCGUGCUAUUGUACGUACUGGUAUUAUUGAUUUCUACCUUCUGAAGAACCAUGAUGUCAUUAAUUUGGUGUCUUGGGGAAUCAGGACUGUUACUUUGAAAAAAUUAAAGUGUUUAAAGCAGGCCA
RNAcentral lists this ribosomal RNA (237 nucleotides) under uncultured Glomus. Its description in RNAcentral is "partial small subunit ribosomal RNA". It matches the Rfam family "Eukaryotic small subunit ribosomal RNA", at positions 547 to 787 of the family's 1831-position model. Lineage: Eukaryota; Fungi; Glomeromycota; Glomeromycetes; Glomerales; Glomeraceae. The record is from RNAcentral.